AGUGAACGCUGGCGGCGUGCUUAACACAUGCAAGUCGAACGAGAACGGAAUAUAGCUUGCUAUAUUUGUCAGCUAAGUGGCGCACGGGUGAGUAAUGUAUAGAUAACCUGCCCUUAAGAAAGGAAUAACAGUUGGAAACGACUGCUAAUGCCCUAUAUGCCUUUAAUACAUAAGUAUGCAAGGGAAACGCUUUAGUGCUUAAGGAUGGGUCUGUAUGGUAUCAGCUUGUUGGUGAGGUAAUGGCUAACCAAGGCUAUGACGCCUAACUGGUUUGAGAGGAUGAUCAGACACACUGGAACUGAGACACGGUCCAGACUCCUACGGGAGGCAGCAGUGGGGAAUAUUGCACAAUGGACGAAAGUCUGAUGCAGCAACGCCGCGUGGAGGAUGACACAUUUCGGUGCGUAAACUCCUUCUAUAUAGGAAGAUAAUGACGGUACUAUAUGAAUAAGCACCGGCUAACUCCGUGCCAGCAGCCGCUGUAA
This 485-nucleotide ribosomal RNA is filed under the name uncultured bacterium. RNAcentral describes it as "partial 16S ribosomal RNA". It matches the Rfam family "Bacterial small subunit ribosomal RNA", at positions 29 to 523 of the family's 1533-position model. The record is from RNAcentral.